Bradysia coprophila is the source of this 958-nucleotide RNA transcript. RefSeq lists it as uncharacterized. The record is from RefSeq and is a predicted model, not a curated record. Lineage: Eukaryota; Metazoa; Arthropoda; Insecta; Diptera; Sciaridae.
GGGUGCAUCUGCGCCUGGGAUAUCGCAUAAAUGAAUAAACUGACUAAUCCAAUUACAUCGGAAGUUGAAGCAGUAAUCGAUUCUGAUACUGUAAUAAAGGAAAAUCAAAUUUAAAUGAUCGAUUCUGUGGAUAUUUAUGGUGUCAUUAUUCUAAAUCAAGUAAUACUUAUAUAGCGAGAAUUUGAACUGUUUGAAUACAUUAAACGUUGAUUCUGGGCUAAUAUACCAGUUCAUCGAUCUAUAUGAGCUUCUGAAAAUGUUAUGCUACUUACUAGGGUUACUGUAUCAUCAUUCCAUAAUGAAAAUUUAGCAUUUUAGCACAACCAGCAAUAGCGUCUAACGUUUACAUUCGUUGUUUAGUACGAAGUCAAAUUUCAAGAAGAUUAAACAUGAAAGUUAAUUUUGUGAUCUUUAUGCUGAUUUUUGGAACGGCUGCAGUUGCAAAGUAGAUGUAGAAGCACUCAUUUCUCGUUCGGAACAAAACGUAGGUCCGAAAUUGCCAAGCAUCGAACACGAUGCGGAUAUUAUUGUCAGUGCUGUGGAAAAUAAGAGACAAGAGCGUAAGGCAUUUGAAGAUGAUCAAAAGGAUUGGAGAGAAACAUUCAAUGCUGAAAAAGAGGACAGUUUCCAGGAUGAACCAGAAAGAGACGAUGAACCAGAAGGAGACGAUGAAACAGAAGGAGACGAUGAAACAGAAGGAGACGACGAAACUGAAGGAGACGAUGAUGCAGAAGGAUACGAUGCUGGAGAAGGAUACGAUGGGACCGAAGGAGACAAUGAUGCAAAAGGACACGAUUAUGCAGAAGAAACAAUGGAUGAUUUUAUUUUUGAGACAGGUGUUCUUUUGAAAAUUUUGAUUGUUGUUGUUACCUUGGUCCUUGUAUUUCAAAUAAGUUACUGUAUAUAUUGUCUUUUAAGGACCCCUUUGUUCAGAUUAUCCUAAAUAAAUUUUUGAAUU